UACGGGGGGGGCUAGCGUUGUUCGGAAUCACUGGGCGUAAAGCGCACGUAGGCGGACUCUUAAGUCGGUGGUGAAAUCCUGGAGCUCAACUCCAGAACUGCCUUCGAUACUGAGAGUCUUGAGUCCGGGAGAGGUGAGUGGAACUGCGAGUGUAGAGGUGAAAUUCGUAGAUAUUCGCAAGAACACCAGUGGCGAAGGCGGCUCACUGGCCCGGUACUGACGCUGAGGUGCGAAAGCGUGGGGAGCAAACAGG
Molecule: ribosomal RNA, 253 nt
Filed under: uncultured bacterium
Lineage: Bacteria
Description: partial 16S ribosomal RNA
Rfam family: Bacterial small subunit ribosomal RNA
Source: RNAcentral